NAGUAGUAAAAUUUCAUUGUUGCUACCAGUUUUUUAGCCUUUGGAUCAACUCUUUUCAUUAUUUCUAACCAUUGGAUUAAAUACUAUAACCCAGUGGGGACCACUCAACCCUGUUGGGACCACUCAACUCUAACCGACUAAUAUCAUCCUGACCCUACAAUUUUUCAUCUAAGGAUUAAAAACUUGAUAGCAAAAAGAGCGUUUUACUAUUAAUAGUAUUCCAGCCUAAUUCUAUAUAUAUAUAUAUAUAUAUAUAUAAGUGACGUGGAAAAGAUGCAGUAGUGUUCAAAUUUAGAAUCCUCCUAACGACCGUCUCUAGAGCAAGUGGCAAAAGACUUGGUGGUUGGUACUCAAAAUCCAAAUUCGAAUCCUAGUUAAUUCAUAUUUCCAGCUAAAUUUAUUUUUAAAUAAAAUAAACGAAGCGGGUAGCACGCAUGCUACCUAUCUCUCAAAAAAAAAAAAAAUUUAGAAUCCUCCUAUUCAUGUUUUCACUCAAUGCAUUCAGAUCUAUGAAGUAAAACCAUGCUAGUAAAUUAAUUAGUAAACGAUUUGAACGCAAUCAAGCUAAGCUCAAAUUGAGCAAGAACAAGGUCAAUCAAAUAUAUAUAUAUAUAUAUAGAGAGAGAGAGAGAGAGAGAGAGAGAGAGAGUAUGACUACUAUACUUUAAUUUAUGAGUAUAAAGUAUUUCAUUUUUAUAAGUUGUUUUUGAUGAUGGAGUUUCGGAAUCGACGAUCCACUCUGUUAAAUAUGAUCUAGAGUAUUUGAAACUUCUAAAAAAUAAAUUUCGUAAUUUUUUAAAAUCAUAAUAAAAUCCAUCAAGCGAGUAUAAAAUGAAUAGUCAAAAUCGAAUGGCGUCUCCUUUAAUUUAAAAUCGGAGUUAUUGAUCUUUAUGUAGGUAGUGAAUAUAAUUUUUUAUAAAAAAUUCAACCAAUUCCGAUUCUUUCACAUCGUUAAACUAGCAUACGGCUAUUAAAAAUUAUCAAUUUUGAGAUCUUUUGAUCAUAAGUUAAAUGAUGUCAAAAAUUAUAAAAUUUGAUUUUUAGAGAUUUUAAAUACUCCACAUAAUAUUUAACGGUAUGGACCGUUGAUUCGAAAACUCUGUCAUAGAAAAUGACUUAUGAGUAUAAGAACUCUCUAUUAUAUAUACAUAUGUACUUAAUCUAGAACAUAU
RNAcentral lists this long non-coding RNA (1172 nucleotides) under Ananas comosus (pineapple). RNAcentral's name for it is "long non-coding RNA (ACOM_LNC022777)". Lineage: Eukaryota; Viridiplantae; Streptophyta; Magnoliopsida; Poales; Bromeliaceae. The record is from RNAcentral.